AUCCUUUUGUAGUUCACAAGCAUGAUGAUUGUGUUUUCACAUCCAUGUGUGAGAUGUGCCUCCCUCAAACCUUGUUAUGACACUGGCAUAUUACCCAUCUGAUG
Prolemur simus (greater bamboo lemur) is the source of this 104-nucleotide small nucleolar RNA. The record is from Ensembl. NCBI's taxonomy places the organism in Eukaryota, Metazoa, Chordata, Mammalia, Primates, Lemuridae.